UUCACGGGGAAGACCCCCAUUUGAAUACUGUUUUCCGGCGUGGAAUUUUCUCUCCGGUGGCAUCCAGCAACGUGCCAGGUUUUGGGUAUAAAUAGUGCAGACACUUUGGAAAGACACACAUACAGUAUCUUUCGGACUGAAAGAGACAACCAAACAGUAUCCUUUCCACCGUCAUCAUGAAAUUCGUUAAUCUCAGCCUCGUCGUGAUGGCCGCCAUCUUGGCACUCGCUUGCUUUGCAACAGCCAUGCCCGACCCUUAUGCUCUGGCGGAUCCUGAGGCAGAUCCCCACCGUGGCUACGGAGGCUUCGGAGGAGGCUUUGGAGGCUUCGGAGGAGGCUUCAGACCGAGGCGGUUUCGGAGGCUUCGGAGGUGGCUUCAGACCAGGCGGAUUUGGAGGAGGAUUCCACAGACCUUACUACGGAUAGAUCUACUAUGUCCAGGAACAACUUUCGGUCUCUUCUGCUACGAUUCUGGGCUCCACUGGAACGAGUGACGUCGCUUCUUCGGGAAUUUAAUUUCCGAUGAAAUAAACGGUUUAAUCUUC
Long non-coding RNA from Macrobrachium nipponense, 545 nucleotides. RefSeq lists it as uncharacterized. The record is from RefSeq and is a predicted model, not a curated record. The transcript is spliced from 2 exons. NCBI's taxonomy places the organism in Eukaryota, Metazoa, Arthropoda, Malacostraca, Decapoda, Palaemonidae.